UGCCAGCCGCCGCGGUAAUACGGAGCGUGCAAGCGUCGUUCGGAUUCACUGGGUAUAAAGGGUGCGUAGGCGGCCUGUUAAGUCAGGGGUGAAAUAUGACGGCUCAACCGUCAAACUGCCCCUGAAACUGAUAGGCUUGAGUUCGAGAGAGGUUGGUGGAAUUCCUGGUGUAGCGGUGAAAUGCGUAAAUAUCAGGAGGAACACCGGUGGCGAAGGCGGCCAACUGGCUUGACACUGACGCUGAGGCGCGAAAGCGUGGGGAGCGAACGGGAUUAGAUA
This 279-nucleotide ribosomal RNA is filed under the name uncultured bacterium. RNAcentral describes it as "partial 16S ribosomal RNA". It matches the Rfam family "Bacterial small subunit ribosomal RNA", at positions 506 to 784 of the family's 1533-position model. The record is from RNAcentral.